Molecule: ribosomal RNA, 255 nt
Filed under: uncultured bacterium
Lineage: Bacteria
Description: partial 16S ribosomal RNA
Rfam family: Bacterial small subunit ribosomal RNA
Source: RNAcentral
UAAAGGAUUCUCUUCGGAGAUUCCACUUUGAGAUGGACCCGCGGCGCAUUAGCUAGUUGGUGAGGUAACGGCUCACCAAGGCAACGAUGCGCAGCCGACCUGAGAGGGUGAUCGGCCACAUUGGAACUGAGACACGGUCCAGACUCCUACGGGAGGCAGCAGUGGGGAAUAUUGCACGAUGGGGGAAACCCUGACGCAGCAACGCCGCGUGAAUGAAGAGGGCCUUCGGGUUGUAAAGUUCUGUCUUCUGGGACG